RNAcentral lists this ribosomal RNA (135 nucleotides) under uncultured Alphaproteobacteria bacterium. RNAcentral's name for it is "partial 16S ribosomal RNA". It matches the Rfam family "Bacterial small subunit ribosomal RNA", at positions 355 to 507 of the family's 1533-position model. Lineage: Bacteria; Pseudomonadati; Pseudomonadota; Alphaproteobacteria. The record is from RNAcentral.
UGGGGAAUCUUAGACAAUGGGGGCAACCCUGAUCUAGCCAUGCCGCGUGAGUGAUGAAGGCCCUAGGGUCGUAAAGCUCUUUCGCCAGGGAUGAUAAUGACAGUACCUGGUAAAGAAACCCCGGCUAACUCCGUG